GGGAGGUGUGAUCCCACGCUCACUGGGAGGUGUGAUCUCACACUCGCUGGGAGGUGUGCUAUCGUCUUCCCU
RNAcentral lists this microRNA precursor (72 nucleotides) under Homo sapiens (human). RNAcentral's name for it is "mir-3689 microRNA precursor family". It matches the Rfam family "mir-3689 microRNA precursor family". Lineage: Eukaryota; Metazoa; Chordata; Mammalia; Primates; Hominidae. The record is from Rfam by way of RNAcentral.